GAAUAACUUCUGUUGCCAGCUCAUGUGUGCAGAGUGGCUCUAUGUCAAAGUCCACACUUUCCACACUCUGGGGGAGUAUCUCCCAGGGCAGAACUUAAACAGCAGCUACUAGUAUGGCAGCACGAGGUAUCUGACACUGGUCCUAGAGCUGCAUAUCCAUGAACAUCCUCAGCAUGCACUGGAUGUUCCAAAUUAUCUUCCACCUCUGCCAACACCAGAUGAACUGAAUUGCUCACAGAUUGGAACUGCUGACAUAAACCGUCAAUGUGAAUUCAACCACUGCACUUCAAUCAACUUCAGCAUGAGCCUGAUUAACUCAGAGCAUUGGCGGUCUGCACUAAACAACCCAUCAUCUGGCAGUCACUCACAGAUGAUACUAAUUGCAUGUAUCUAGAGGGAAAAGGGUAGACCUUGGAAACAAGAAUGUUUUCGACUGGAUUUGCAAAAAUGCUCAGUCUUUUCUACUUAGUGGAUUUGCAAACGUCCUACUCUUGUGAGACCCAAGCAGCUUCGUUUGUCUCAGUCCUAUUAACUAGUUCAG
RNAcentral lists this long non-coding RNA (541 nucleotides) under Gallus gallus (chicken). RNAcentral's name for it is "lncRNA (ENSGALG00010027551.1)". The record is from RNAcentral. Lineage: Eukaryota; Metazoa; Chordata; Aves; Galliformes; Phasianidae.